Erinaceus europaeus (western European hedgehog) is the source of this 3358-nucleotide long non-coding RNA. RefSeq lists it as uncharacterized. Lineage: Eukaryota; Metazoa; Chordata; Mammalia; Eulipotyphla; Erinaceidae. The record is from RefSeq and is a predicted model, not a curated record. The transcript is spliced from 3 exons.
CUCAUUCUUUUUGCAUCUGGGCAGGUGGCCCCUUUCUGUGUUCUCCAGAGAACAGAAAUGUGACAGUUCUGGCUUCGGUCUGAAGAUGUGGGGGACCCCUUGUUGCAAGUGCCACUGCCCCCAAAUGGAGUGAGCCUUGUGGACCCUGCAGGCAAGUGGCCAUGUGGUGGGUUGGGAACACAGCCCAGCUGGGCCAAUGUCUCCAGGGGAAAGGCCAGAGGACCUUUUGGAAACAGCCUUCAUCUUCUCAUGCAGAACCUCUUGGAGCACUGCCCAGGGAAGGGGUGUGAGCACAGCCAACAGGACAUGGAACACACACACACACACACACACACACACACACACACGUCUCGACAUGACCCACCACUGAUUGGUCCCCAGCUUCAGCUCACCUCCCUCCCCACAGACCACCCACCUCCCACAGCCUCUUCCUCACCUUCCCCCACCUGAGUUACCUUUGGGUGAAAACCACUCGGAUGCUGGGUCAAGACAACCCUGUUUGCUCUCUGCUGACUCCUGGAAAGAAACUAGUCCUGCCAAAACCACCUUUAAAAGCCACAGCUCACUCUAUUGUCUUGGCCUUGAGCAUUCGAGCUCUAAGUCUGGCUGUCACCCCACUCCCACCCCUCACCCCUAGUGGGCAGCUGUGCUCCAGGCAGUGGCAAGGCUAGUUCUACAGCCCUUGUAGUAACCAGACACUGUUGUUUUUGUUCGGAUCCUAUGUGGCCUUCUGAUUUCUGAGCUGUAAGCGUAAGCCGGGCCACAGUCCUACUCAAACCAAAGUAUGUAUUUGGAUAGACAGCAAACACACUUAGCCAUUAAGAUUUGAAACUAGUACAGCUUUCAGUUCUGAGAACCACUUUACUCACAUCUUACUGUGGCUCGCCAAGAUGCUGCCUUCUAACGCUAAAGUUUGCUUUACUUUUAUUAUGGACAGUUUAUGUAUCGCUGGGGCAUGAACCCAGGGCCACACACAGACACACACACACACACACACACACACACACACACACACACACACGACACCAUGGCUGAGUGGCCUCCUCCAAGUUUUUAUCAACCAUGUGUCAGAGAAGUGAGAGGGACAGAGACAGAGAGACGGGGAGGAGAAAUGCCAAAGCACCUCUCUCUCCACCAUCCAUGGGAAUGUCUCUGGUCAUUGCUGCUCCUAGUACUCCCAUGUGGUGCCAGGGCUCAAACCCCGGCCCUCACACACAGUAAUAUGGGAGCUCAGUGGCUCCAGUGUUUCCCUGUCCAACACGUGCUUUAUUACAGCAGAACAUACUAGAACAUAAACCUUAAAGGCAGGUUUUUUAAAAAAAUGUUUGUUUUGGUUUUAGAUUUUAUUUAUUUAUUAACCAGAUAGAUAGAAAGAGAGAAAGAAAGAGAACCAGACAUAAUUCUGGUAUAUAUGCUACCGGAGAUCAAACUCAGGACCUCAUGCUCGAGAGUCAACCACUCUCUCCACUGCACUACUUCCCAGACUGCAAGGUAGGUUCUUUUUGAACAAGAUUUGGAUGAGACCUGAGAGGUGACUCAGCAGUGGAACCUCUGCCUUGCUUGCUUGGGGCCCUGGGUUCCAGCCUACCCGGCAUAAACAAGACUUGGUCAGAAACGAUUGUCUUUUCACAGUGGUGCACAGAAGCAGAAGGUGCCUUAAGAUGCAGGUUUUUUCAGAGGAGCGCUCACAGUGAACUGAACCAUGCUGGUUCAGCCCAGCACAGCACGGGAGAAGCCUUCGUGAACAUGAAGUGUUCUGAGAACCUGGCCUUGGUCAGUCUGUGCUGGGGAUAAUGGACAGAUGUUCCCUUCCAGAAGAGUUUUCUGCAGUUGGUCCUGGACACUUCAGGAAUGGAAGGGAAUUGCUGGAGACUGAAAGCCACGUUCUGAUAUGAUGUCCCUUGGUCAGCCUGCUCAAAGUCCAGCCUCAGCCGGAGCUUCACAGAGAGGCAUCCCCACCCUCCCUUCUCCUGCCCAGCUUGCUCUUAUCUCAGGCAGAAAGGUUCAGGGACAUCCUUGAUAUUGGGGUCAAAGUCCCAAACCAAGGUCAGCUGCGUGUAUGUGAGUGUGUGUGCGUGUGUCACCAUUUUAAAGUCAAGUCAGAUAAUCCCUGGUAGGCAAAGUUAUGUUUACAUGCAUGUGGGCACAAGUUCACUGAGCAAACAGAACUGUGUGACGGCCAUAGAAGAGCUUCCACUUUGGUCUUGAGUGGUGCCUUAACUUUGUGCAAGGCUCUGCCUGCGAGCAACUGGGUGAACAGAGUCCCAGAGCCCCCAGCUCAGACUACGUGGAGGGAAGGCGCUGUGCUCUCCAGAGCCAGCUUCUGUCACAAUUAUUCAAAUUGAGAGGGGAGGGGAUGUUAGAGAGGUAUAGAAAAAGAGAGACACUUGCAGACCUGCUUCAACCCUCAUGAAGCUUCCCCCCUUUAGGUGGGGUGUAGGCGCUUGAACCAGGAUCCUUGUGCACUGUAAUGUGUGUACUCAAUCAGGUGCAUCACCAUCCAUACCCCCCUUUUUAAAAAAUUGUGACAAAGGUUAUUAUUGGAGUUCAGUGUCUAUACCACUCACCCACUGCUCCUGGUGGCCAUUUUAUUUUAUUUUAUUGAUAGCAAAUAGAAAUUGAUAGGAGAGAGGGAAACAGAGGGAGAGAGAAACAGAUACCUGCAGUGCUGCUAUACCGCUAGUGAAGCUUCCGUCCUCUAAGUGGAGACUGGAGGCUCGAACCCAGAUGCUUGUGCAUGAUGACAUGUGUGCUUAUUGAGUGUACCACCACCCAGCCCACUCCCCCUCCUCGUAAUCUAAGUGAUAGCGGGCCUGCUUCUGAUGAAUUCUGACUCAGAGCUGCUGAAACCAGGAAGUCCUCCAUCACUGCUUUGGCCUUGGUUGUGUGCCUCAGGGAGAAAGCUGAUUUGUCCCUGUCAAUCACAGCAGCAAAUGUACGGCCCACGGAAGAAAGGCUCUGCCCUCCAUUUGAGACCUCUCUUGCACUAGCCCCAGCUUCCACCAGCCUUCUAGAAAGAAAAGACCUACCUUUGUGAACCUAUGCUCUAUCUCAGGGGACCUGGACUAUAUCUAGGUUUGGGGACUUUAUUGGGGAGUGGAACACCUGGAAUGGAAUUAGAGAAUACUAUGAAAGGAAAGGUCUCAUGCGAGUGAUGAAGCUGAAGGGUUGUCAUUCCACACCUGAAGUCUCUGGACACAGUCUGAAGUGAAGCAUGCUGGGGUGGCACUCGUUGGCGUUGAUUUAGGUUGUGAUCCCCAGAUGCAAUAUUAUUUGAUUUGAAUUGAGAGCGGCAUGCAGAAAAGUGGGCCCCACCCUAAGGUUCCAGGACUGGGGGAAAUAUAGGCUCUAUAGUGGA